CCUUCUCGGGAAUAUUUGCCAAGUGAACGUCCUCUGUGCAGACUCACAUGAUGCUCUGUCAUCUUUGGGAGGAGAGCCAAUAUUGUGAAAAGUUGCCAGUGAAAAAAAUGGAUCACAGCAAAAUAACCGGAGCAUUUAACCAGCCUGAGUUUGGAGGUGAUUGUUGCCGGCCUCUGCGGGUUUCCCGGGUCAAAGAAACAGAAUUGAGAACCUGGAAGUGUUGAUCAAGACAGGUGCUGCAACUUUGAUCAGGCUCUUCUGGGUCCUCUGCUGCCUGAGGCCAGGGAAGGAAGAGAACCCUGAUAGGACAGCAGCACCUUGGGAAGUCAAGGAUUUGGUGACUAAGAACCAGAUACAACAGGACCUAAGUGGAAUUGCCUGAGUUGUGCCCAGAGAGCUCACUGUGGGUGGAUCUGCUUCAUGGAAUACUGGGGAGGAUUACUUAAGAGAACUAGUGUGUCUGAAACCAGAAGGAAUCUUCAGAACCAUCACUGUAUAGAUGAGAUAGCUGGGGC
Molecule: long non-coding RNA, 515 nt
Organism: Hyaena hyaena (striped hyena)
Lineage: Eukaryota; Metazoa; Chordata; Mammalia; Carnivora; Hyaenidae
Exons: 4
Source: RefSeq, a predicted model, not a curated record